Bactrocera oleae (olive fruit fly) is the source of this 256-nucleotide non-coding RNA. The record is from RefSeq and is a predicted model, not a curated record. Lineage: Eukaryota; Metazoa; Arthropoda; Insecta; Diptera; Tephritidae.
GAGAUUAACAUAUAGACUUACCAUUUUCCAUCAACACUGGCCGGCAUUAUUUGUGAAAAAAAUGUUGAGAUUCCAAAAGCGUUUAUAAAGAAGAGGACGGAGAAAAACUCGCUACCCGAGCUGGAAAUCGAGUGAUAUUUUCCCAAUGUUUGAAAACACCAAUUACUUACAUUGUCUUGAAUCUUCUAGGUUGUAUUGCAUUGCUAUUUGCAGCGCUUCACGCUUUGCACGAAGUAUGUAGCGGAGGAGUUCCGUC